This 1024-nucleotide long non-coding RNA is filed under the name Aquilegia coerulea. RNAcentral describes it as "long non-coding RNA (ACOE_LNC001229)". The record is from RNAcentral. Lineage: Eukaryota; Viridiplantae; Streptophyta; Magnoliopsida; Ranunculales; Ranunculaceae.
UGAAACAGAAUCAUCAUGCAUACAUGGUAAAGAUUAAAGAAUUGUAUUGAGAUAUAACUCCAAUUGAGAGAACUAAAUAUACUACAUUAACAAAAGAAUUUAUACAAUUGAGUAGUCACCCUUAAGAGAUAGGGGCAAGUACAUUUUGUGCAGUAGCGGUAGAGAUGAAUGAAUCUGUGUUUUGGAUUGGGAGCAGUAGGGUGGAUCUACAAGUAGGACAUGUUAUUUGAUGUUGAUCCAUCCAACUGUCUAAGCAAUUUUUAUGGAAAACAUGACAACAAUUUGGUAGUUCUCUCAUCUCAUGGCUGUAUUCCAUAUGAUUCAAGCAAAUUGCACAUACCUCCUCUUCCUGCAAAUCAUAUUUCUUAGCUGCUGCUGUUGAUGAUGAUGAUAUUCCAUUGCACUUAUCUUGAAAAUGACCAAAUGUUACUACCGGAAGUUUCUUCUUGAUUGGGUCAAUGUCCAUGAUAAUAGUAACCGGCGAGACAGGGAGUGAGACAGGAAGGCAGAACAAUGAAUCGUCAUCAGCAAAGUAAUGAGUUUGAUCAUAUUGAAUAAGAAUAUUGAUGAAUUCCAAACUAUUAAAGAUUGUAGACUUGAGAUUUGUUAAUAACUUGAACACAUUUUCUUUUGCAACAUUGAUACCACCAACACGCGCCAAGAAAUCCAUUAACUUGUUGAUGAAAGCAAAGCAAUGAGAACUGAGAAGCAGAAGAAGAAAGGCAGUGGGGAAGCAAAGAAGAAAGAAUGUAUGGUUCUUCUUUUAUAUACAAAAGAAUGAAAAAAAAAUAUAAGAUUAAUUAGGUAGGUUGGAGAAUGAAAAAAAACAUAAGAUUAAUUAGGUAGGUUGGAGUUUGAACAAGACCUUUUGCCGUCGUCCAUAUAAUAACGUGGGCGCAUUUAGAUUGAAAUUGAAAUGAAUAGUGAAUACUACUAGAAGAUAAGAAUAAUAAAGACGUGUGUUUGUGUAUCUCGACUUGACACUAGGAGAACAAUAUGACACGCAUAUUGCCCACAGACAAAG